UACGAAGGGGGCUAGCGUUGCUCGGAAUCACUGGGCUUAAAAGGGCGCGUAGGCGGGCUGCCGCGUCCGGGGUGAAAUCCUCCCGCUCAACGGGAGAACGGCCUCGGAUACGGGCGGCCUCGAGGGGGGUAGGGGCAUCUGGAACUGUGAGUGGAGCGGUGAGAUGCGUUGAUAUUCACAGGAACUCCGGUGGCGAAGGCGAGGUGCUGGACCCCAUCUGACGCUGAGGCGCGAAAGCCAGGGGAGCGAACAGG
This 254-nucleotide ribosomal RNA is filed under the name uncultured bacterium. Its description in RNAcentral is "partial 16S ribosomal RNA". It matches the Rfam family "Bacterial small subunit ribosomal RNA", at positions 524 to 776 of the family's 1533-position model. The record is from RNAcentral.